GAAUUCGCCCUUAGAGUUUGAUCCUGGCUCAGGACGAACGCUGGCGGCGCGCCUAACACAUGCAAGUCGAACGGAGCUUAGAGAGCUUGCUUUUUAAGCUUAGUGGCGAACGGGUGAGUAACGCGUGAGUAACCUGCCCUAGAGUGGGGGACAACAGUUGGAAACGACUGCUAAUACCGCAUAAGCCCACGGUGCCGCAUGACACUGAGGGAAAAGGAUUUAUUCGCUUUAGGAUGGACUCGCGUCCAAUUAGCUAGUUGGUGAGGUAACGGCCCACCAAGGCGACGAUUGGUAGCCGGACUGAGAGGUUGAACGGCCACAUUGGGACUGAGACACGGCCCAGACUCCUACGGGAGGCAGCAGUGGGGGAUAUUGCACAAUGGGGGAAACCCUGAUGCAGCGACGCCGCGUGGAGGAAGAAGGUUUUCGGAUUGUAAACUCCUGUCGUUAGGGACGAUAAUGACGGUACCUAACAAGAAAGCACCGGCUAACUACGUGCCAGCAGCCGCGGUAAAACGUAGGGUGCAAGCGUUGUCCGGAAUUACUGGGUGUAAAGGGAGCGCAGGCGGGAAGACAGGUUGGAAGUGAAAACCAUGGGCUCAACCCAUGAAUUGCUUUCAAAACUGCUUUUCUUGAGUAGUGCAGAGGUAGAUGGAAUUCCCGGUGUAGCGGUGGAAUGCGUAGAUAUCGGGAGGAACACCAGUGGCGAAGGCGGUCUACUGGGCACCAACUGACGCUGAGGCUCGAAAGCAUGGGUAGCAAACAGGAUUAGAUACCCUGGUAGUCCAUGCCGUAAACGAUGAUUACUAGGUGUUGGGGGAUUGACCCCCUCAGUGCCGCAGUUAACACAAUAAGUAAUCCACCUGGGGAGUACGACCGCAAGGUUGAAACUCAAAGGAAUUGACGGGGGCCCGCACAAGCAGUGGAGUAUGUGGUUUAAUUCGAAGCAACGCGAAGAACCUUACCAGGUCUUGACAUCCGAUGCAUAACACAGAGAUGUGUGAAAUCCUUCGGGACAUCGAGACAGGUGGUGCAUGGUUGUCGUCAGCUCGUGUCGUGAGAUGUUGGGUUAAGUCCCGCAACGAGCGCAACCCCUAUCUUCAGUAGCCAGCAGGUAGAGCUGGGCACUCUGGAGAGACUGCCAGGGAUAACCUGGAGGAAGGUGGGGACGACGUCAAAUCAUCAUGCCCCUUAUGAUCUGGGCGACACACGUGCUACAAUGGCGGUCACAGAGUGAGGCGAACCUGCGAGGGGGAGCAAACCACAAAAAGGCCGUCCCAGUUCGGACUGUAGUCUGCAACCCGACUACACGAAGCUGGAAUCGCUAGUAAUCGCGAAUCAGAAUGUCGCGGUGAAUACGUUCCCGGGUCUUGCACUCACCGCCCGUCA
This 1389-nucleotide ribosomal RNA is filed under the name uncultured bacterium. RNAcentral's name for it is "bacterial SSU rRNA". It matches the Rfam family "Bacterial small subunit ribosomal RNA". The record is from RNAcentral.